CUUUUAUUAGAUUCAAGACCACGACUCGUCGUUUGACGUGUUAAUUGAUGAGCACUGGAUAAUUGCAGAACCCCAGAUGCCUUGCGCAGGGGGUGUAUCUUUCAAGUGUCUGCCCUAUCAACUUUGGACGGUAGUGUACAGGACUACCGUGGUUGUAACGGGUAACGGGGAAUCAGGGUUUGAUUCCGGAGAGGGAGCCUGAGAAACGGCUACCACAUCUAAGGAAGGCAGCAGGCGCGCAAAUUACCCAAUCCCAGAACGGGGAGGUAGUGACGAAAAAUAACAAUAUGAUGCCUUACGGUAUUGUGAUUGGAAUGGAAGGGAUGUAAAAGCUCCCUUGAGGACCUAGUGGAGGGCAAGUCUGGUGCCAGCAGCCGCGGUAAUACCAGCCUCCACAAGCAUAUACAAAAGUUGCUGCGUUUAAAAAGCUCGUAGCUGGAUCUGCUAAUUGAGUUUCAUAAUCCAAUUCCAGAUGGAUAAGGGGGAGACUUGAUUACCUUGCCGUUGAGGGUUCUUGCGCUUAAUUGCGUCGAGUUCCCGACGCGGAAGUUUUACUUUGAAUAAAUUAGAGUGUUC
Molecule: ribosomal RNA, 576 nt
Filed under: uncultured eukaryote
Lineage: Eukaryota
Description: bacterial SSU rRNA
Rfam family: Eukaryotic small subunit ribosomal RNA
Source: RNAcentral